RNAcentral lists this long non-coding RNA (262 nucleotides) under Nicotiana benthamiana. RNAcentral's name for it is "long non-coding RNA (NBEN_LNC001422)". Lineage: Eukaryota; Viridiplantae; Streptophyta; Magnoliopsida; Solanales; Solanaceae. The record is from RNAcentral.
GUAAGCAACGUGCUUCCACCUCUGCUCCUCCUUCUUCUCAUGGGUACUAUCCGUAUCAAGAUGGUACUGUCUUAUUCUUUAAGAGCGAAAACAAGCUCAACCGUUUUGUUACCAAAUUUGAAAAACGAGAAAUUCAUCCUCCCCGUUUUUCUACUGAAAGAUAUCUCGGAGCCUAUGGUCUUGCUGCCAAUCUACUUCAUGAAAGUCAACUUCUUGACUUCCUACUUCUCUCUUAUGAUUUUAUUAAUAAUACACUGAUUCG